Molecule: ribosomal RNA, 447 nt
Filed under: uncultured bacterium
Lineage: Bacteria
Description: bacterial SSU rRNA
Rfam family: Bacterial small subunit ribosomal RNA
Source: RNAcentral
AUUGAACGCUGGCGGCAUGCCUUACACAUGCAAGUCGAACGGCAGCACGGGAGCAAUCCUGGUGGCGAGUGGCGAACGGGUGAGUAAUAUAUCGGAACGUGCCCAGUCGUGGGGAUAACGUAGCGAAAGCUACGCUAAUACCGCAUACGAUCUAUGGAUGAAAGCGGGGGAUCGCAAGACCUCGCGCGAUUGGAGCGGCCGAUAUCAGAUUAGGUAGUUGGUGAGGUAAAGGCUCACCAAGCCGACGAUCUGUAGCUGGUCUGAGAGGACGACCAGCCACACUGGGACUGAGACACGGCCCAGACUCCUACGGGAGGCAGCAGUGGGGAAUUUUUGGACAAUGGGCGCAAGCCUGAUCCAGCAAUGCCGCGUGCAGGAUGAAGGCCUUCGGUUGUAACUAGCUUUGUACGGUAACGAAACGGUAGAGCUCUAAUACAGUUUGCUAAU